GGAAGCGUGAAACCACGACAUUUUGUCCUGGGUUGAAGCCAUUAGAGGAUUGGAUUGAUAAAACAUCUUCAGCAAGUUCACCGCUGGUGGCGGUGUGGGUAAUGCUAUUGUCCGGGGUGACACCACAAGUGUUGUUGUUGCAGCCAGGUUUUGGUGAUGAGAAACAAUCACCACAGCCGUCGGAAUUUGCAAGGGAGCAUUGGGCUGAACGGCAGCGUGCAGGGCGGUAUGUGGAAGAAAUGUAUUUGUUUUCGCAGUCAACCCAAAGAAACUGGCCACCGAGAUCGACGAUGACGUUCAGUGGGACUAAUGGGGUUCUCUGGUUGAUUUGAGCUUUGUAUUGGUUUGUUGUGGCCCCAUCUUUUGUGAUUGGGAGAACAAGGGCUUUUGGCCUGAAAGAUUGUUGAGAGAAAGUGGGUGAAAUGAAGAAAAAUAGGAGAAGGAUUGUAAUGAAGUGUUGAAAAUUGGAAUUAGCCAUGGCUAGAGUGUAAAGAUGUAAAUGAUAUUGAGUUUGUGAAGAUGGUGUUGAGGCAGGUCUAUUUAUAUUAUAUUGAUCGAGUUGCCACAUUUGAUUUGGUUCAUAGUGUAUUAAAGAAGUUGGUGCUUUUAAGUCAAAAACAAUUUGAGAUGUUAACAAUGCCACGUUUCUUUGUAUCUAACACGACUACAUGAUGUUGCCUUGUUUAUAUUAUCUGGACACCACAUUGAUUUCUUUGGUCAAACAUGACAAUUUCAGUUUUCUAUAUUCUUCUUCCUUUAACGCGUUACUAAGUUUCAUCUUUUUAUUUUUUAUUGCAGUGUUUUAUCUCUCUCAAUUUCAAAAGACUGAAGAGGUACUUCUUUGUUGUUAUGCAGUGCAGGCAUGAGUUACUUAAUAUAUUAUUGGAAUUCUUGUACAGUGUGUAAAUAUACUUACGUAGAUUAUUAAAAAGUGAUAGCCCAAUUAUGGCAAAAUCUAACUAAAAUAGAGUUUCAAAUUUGUACACUAACAAGAUUUAUCUAGACGUAGAAAGAGUGUACGCGUAAUCCAAAAGUUCAAAUAUUUCUCCUGAUGAGAUAUAUCUUAUCUGUAACUUAUCCAAAAUGAAUACAUGUAAUCCAUUAAUUAAUUAGUAAGUCGAAUUACUUUAUAGGUCUAUCGUUUGUUGGAAAUUACACGGCUGCUUAAUAGAUUUUUUAAGUAAGUUUUAAAGGCUAUUUUAUGUCAACAAAUGUAGCUGGGAGAUUAGACUCCUAUAAAAGCGACAACUAAAAUUUGAAUUUAUGAGAAGUAUCAACAUUCAGUGUCUGAUAUAAUUCCUUUCGCACAUCAUGUGUAGGAUGUAACAUCGUUGGUUUCGCAAUAUAAUUUUAUUCUGAUUUGUUAAAAGAAAAGAAAAAAACAAAUAGUGUAUGAUAUGUGAAAAUUAGAAUUACAUUUACACAUGUCAUUCCUUAAUUUAGUUUAAUAAUGAUUUGAUUAUUUAUUGUUUUUUACGUCAUUUUGGCUCUUUUGAAUUGUUUGCACAUAUGAAUUCUCAAGUUUUAAAUCUAAAAACUGAGAACUCACAGGAAAAUAAAAUCAUAUAUUUAAAUCUUGAAAAUGUAUGUGUAAAGGGACCAAAAUAGGUAAAAUGACGUAAAAAAAAAUUAAAUGACGAAAUCGUUAUUUAAAACUAAGUUAAGAGAUCGUGUCCAAAAAAAAAACUAAGUUAAGAGACGAAUUCAAUUUUGUCAAUAACAUCUUACAAAAAAAGAAAGUUAUGGAAAAAAAUUGUGUCGUUUUCAAAGCAACUUAGAAUAUCAGGAGAUUUAGUAUGUGGGACUUUGGUUAACUCAAUUUAUAACUUCAACAAGGCUGAUACAUAUCGUGUUAAAACAUAUUUUGAGGCACCUUUUAGAUCAUCUUUUUUGUUAACAAUCAACUUAAAAAGGUUUUCACAGGGCCGACCCAAUGUACUUGUAGGCCUAAAGUGAAUUUUAAAUAAGGCAUUUUCAUAGGUUUCCUCAAUUGAAAGUAAUUAUAUUCGAUGUAUCUUAGACAAUAAUGUGAGUAUCUCUCCAGUUAAAAUUCGAACAUUGGUUUUCAAAAAACCUAGGGCCGGCCCUGGGCAUAGGCCAACGAUGGGAGAUGUAUACAGAAAUAUUAGGUUUAUAUGGGGUAUAUAUAGCAAAUUAGUUUAUGUAAGAUGUUUAGGCUAAAAUGUUAGUCAUACUACGCAAUUGAACAUGCAUAAAUACAAGAAGCAUCUGAGAUGAAAUACAAAUGCUAUGAUUUGUAGAUAGCUUAUUGAGCUAACAACAGAUAACUAACUAACUAUUUAUAGACAUGCAAAUUAGUCCUCCACCAUAUGCAAUUUUGGCAAGGCUAUACAAUCACCUGUUAAUCAAAAACCAUUUUUAUAAUAAAAACAUAAAAUAAAAACAAUAACAAUCAGUCCAUAGAAGAUCAUCAACUUAAUGUCCUGAAACAAAUUAUGAUCUCCAAUUGUUUCACUUUUUGUAGUUGCAUUGUCAAAAGAUUUGUUGGCAACAUUAACGGUGUUUGGUGCCACGUAGUUGUUGUUAGUAUGUGGAACAGGGUCAUUGUACAUACAAUUGUAAUCGUAACCAUGGUGAUAAGGAUAAGUAACACCAGAAUCAUCAGCACAAAUAUGAGUUGAACCAGAAUGAUUUCGGGUGGAGAAGUGGAGUGUCCGAGGUUCGAACCCUCUGCAUAUAAAAUGCGAUAUUCCUACCAAUUGAGCGAAACUCACGGGGAUAUGUGGUUUCUUUAUUAUGAUCACAAUCACACCACUUUGAGAACUUCUUGCAACUUUAUAAUGAUUAUCUUUAAUUUUUUUGGCUUUAUCCAAUAUUUGCUGAUCAGCUAGACUCUUUACGGUCAGUUUUCCCACAUCCCCUUCAAUCAGAUCAAAUGUGUAACCACCUGCAGAAUUGUGUACAAAUCAAUGUUUCAAAAAUUGAACCGAACAUCAUAUUAGUGACAUUUCUAAGUCGUAGUUUGACUAUUUGAAUUAGAAUAAAAUCGCAAUUAAACUGUUCGAUUCAAUUCAGUUUUUAAAACAUUCAUAUGAGCAAAUUUUUGUAUUGAAAUUAGCUUGCUCAUAUUAUAGUGAAGUCAAGAAGAAGGGGACAAAUAAGUGUGAUACGUACCAUUUAGUCUUGUUGAUAAUUUCCCUAACGAACUUUGACAUUUCUUGCAGUGUACUUUAAAGCGGUAUGUCUGCAAGUGAAUAAACAAAUCAUGUGAAAGAGAAAUGAAAACACGUAAAAUAGUUUUGAUAUAUGAAACAUAACCACCGACGCAGACACUGUUGAUGUCACAAAUAAAUUUACAAAUUGAAAUGGAGCUUCUAAAAAUAGGACAUCGAAAUUGGAGCUUUUACCGCUUAUUUACAAAUUGAAAAGUUUUGAUUGUUUCAUAAAUAAAUAAACUAACGAUUAUUUUUAUGAAUCAAAAAACUAUUUGUCGAUGUUGAAAAUUUUUCCAACACUCCAAUAAAUCACUUUAGAGUGUUGUUUGUGCUUCCUAAUAUUCAAUAUAUACUACUUAUAGGUUGAAUUUGUAUGUAUAAAUCUCAAAUUAGAAGAAUUUAAUAAGUGGUUAAUUAAAAAAUGUACCUUUCGGAGGAACGUCGAACGAAACCAUUUAAGUAUAUUCUAGGAGGCCGUUAAGGACAAGCAAGAGAAUGAUAUGCUACCUUAUGUAGGAGAUGAAUAACCUUCCUAUUUAUUUAUUUGAUUUCAUAAAAAAAAAAAAUCUUUUAGGAGUAUUUCAUAAAUUCUUGAUCUUAUGUCCUUAUGUCAUACAUACAUAUGAGCAUGCUCAAAUUUAAUGCGCAAUUGCAGUCGUGAGGAUGCUUCAUCAUUUAUAUAUAAAAACAAUAAAUUACAACUUUCAAAGGGGAAGUGAUUUGGCUCAACCUCACAAAGGAAAAAUUAAUUUGAUGACUUGGAAACUAAAGCAUGCAUAUUUAUAAUAAGGGUUUUUCUAUAAUAGAAUAAUAUACUUUUUUUUUUUUGCUUUCGCAUCGGUUUCCGACCCAUCAAAGGUGAGCGACUAAUUCGGCUCAUGCGUAAAGGCAUGCGCACUGGCCAAGUGUUGUUCCCCCUGAAAAUCGAACCCGGUAUUCCAGGGUACGUCCUUGGAAUGAGCUCUUUGCCACUGAAGUCCAAACAACUUUGUUAGAAUAAUAUAUUUUAGUUCACAUUUCACGUACUUAUUUUACUUUUUCCCUCAAUGAUCGAGAUUUAAAAAUAAAAUAAAAUUGUACUAUCGUAAUAAGAAAUAAAACCAAAAAACAUUGCUCAAAAAAAAAAAACCAAAAAACAUUAAUAUCAAAGUGGAGAAGGGUAAUGCUGUAAAUUCCACUUAAUAAUUAAAAGCAGAAACCUCUUUCACACCAAAACACACAUAUGUUUUGUCGCAGGUUACGAUUUUCAACAACCUCUUUCAACACAUAUGUUUCAUUGUGUAAAAAAAAAAAAACAACCUCUUUCAAAAGUCAGUGCAGUUUGCAAUAAUUAAAUCAUCUCAUCAACUUGCAAAAUAUAAUAAUAAUUUUUUUUGAACAGGAAAAUAUAAUAAUAAUAAUUAAUCAUCACAAUUAACAAGUUGUCAAUUAAAUCAUCACAAUUAAUAAAUUAUAUCAUUGCAAAUAACUCAUCUGAAAAUGUAGAUAAAAAACCAACGAAUUGGUUCAUCGUCAAUGGCUUUUUCCAUUAGAAAAAAAGUUAGUAGCUUUAAGCAUGUAUGCCAGGCUAGGCUGCACUUAUGGUGCAUAAAAUCUAGAAAUGGUUUUUGUGAGUUGUAUUUCAAAAUCAUUAGAUGUACUUAAUGGUUUCUAGCACUCUGCAUAUAUCAGAGUAUGUUUUGUAUAAAAUUAUGUCAAAACCAUUUUACUGUGGAAAUGAUUUCUGUGAAUUGUACUCCAAAAACCAUUUCUAGAUUUAUGCAGAGUGCAUAAGGAUUUCCUUAUGCACCAUAACCGCAUCCGUCAGACUAAUCGACACAUUGCAAGUGCAAAAAUAGGGAGCACCUAUAUAUGUUUUUAUUUAAUUUGAAAGAUAAAUUGUAAUUACCAAAAAUACACUUUAAGUUUAAGUGACAUACAAUAGUGGGAUUUGGGUUUUCAGUAAAAACAAAGUGGAUGUAGCUUGCUAACUUACACCUUAGUUAAAAGUGGGUGUAAGUUAGCAGCCCCAAUGUUGCUAAAACACAUAUUCUAGAAAAUAAGUGGGUGUAUGUUAGCAACUCUUAUAUGCAUUUGCUGGGAUACACCCACUUAUUUUUUAGAAGGUGUAAUUUAGCAACUCCUAUAGACAUUUGCUAGGAUACACCCACUUAUUUUUUAGUGUAUGUUAGCAACUCCUAUAUGCAUUUGCUAGGAUAUAUAUAUAUAUAUAUAUAUAUAUAUAUAUAUAUAUAUAUAUAUAUAUGGAGAUAGUACUCCCUUUGUCCUUAUAUCUAAGCACCUUUUGCAUUUUUUACAUUUCUUAAGAAAAGUUGUUGGUGCAUUUAAUGUGUCUAUUUUGUGCGUUAAUAUUACCAAAUUGUCAUUUGUUUGUAUGUGUAUAAAAUUUGACUUUUCAUAUUUUAAGACAAGUUAAUAAUAUUAAUUAGGGAUAUGUUUAGGAAAAAAAAUAAUAAAUGCAUAUAGUAAUUCAAAAGCGAUAUACAUCUAAGGACAAAAAUAAAGUUAAAUGUGUGCUUAGAUAUAAGGAGGGAUUAGAUAUUUUUAGAAUAAGAUUUUAAUUCCUUUUUCUAAGGGAAGGUGAAUGUAGGUUUUAAAUUUGUUUUUGACAUCUCAAAUCCAAAAAUAGAAUGUGGGAUAGUAUAAAUGGAUGGGAACUUCUAUGGUACACUCAUAAAUUAAGGUGUAUCGGUAUUCCUGCUUCCAAAAUUUAUAUAUUAACAAUCAACUUUAUGAAAUAAAUAGUUAUUUGUCGGCAUUUAUAUCUCAGAAAAUAUCAUUUCAUAAGAAAAACACAUCAUUCAUUGUUUAUAAGAAUCAAUAAUUUUUUUUACAUAUUUUCGUAUAAAAUAAUCAAAGUUCUCUAUUAUGAGCGAUAAAAAUUCAAAAAAAAUCAAUUUUAAUUCGUUGAUGCUUUUGGUGAAUAAGAUUUUAAUCAUUAUAAUUAUAAAUGAUAAAAAAAUAAUAUAUUUCUUCAAAAAAUAACUCAUUUAACUAUAAAUUUAAGGAUUUGAUGUACCGGUACACUCAAAAAUGUUGGGUGUACGGUAGAAUUUGCCUAAAUGGAUACGGAGAUGUUUCAACACAAACAAUUAUGAUAUCUUUGCUUUCUCAUUUGAAAUUUUGAAUAACAAAACCUCCCCCGACAACUUCCUCUCUCACCCUUUUCCAAUACCUUUCUUUAAUCCAUCCCCUAAUCCUCCACUUUCAUAUAAUCAAUUCAUUAUCUUUUUUAAAACAUUUUAUUAGUUAGUGAAGAGCAGGGGAAUGGAUCCUCUGCGGUGACUGCAGAGUCUUAAAUAUGAGCCUUUAAACACAAUUAAAUACUUAAAAAUAUACUCCCUCCGUCCCAAAUUGUAUGUCACUUUGGAAAAAAUAUUUGUCCCAAAUUGUAUGUCGCUUUACAAUACCAAUAAAAAAUUAAUAUUACUUUUCCUAUUAUAUCCUCAACUAUUUAUUACUUUCUCUUCUUUCAAUUCCUUCAUUUAUCUUUUCCAUAUCAUUUAUUGAGGACAAUUUUGUAAAACAACUCAUAAUAUCAUUUUCCCACACAAUAUUAAUUACAUUUCUUAAUAAGUGUGAAAUGUCCAAAACAUCAUACAAUUUGGAACGGAGGGAGUAUAUGUUAAAAACUUGAAAUUAGGAGAGAUAAUGAAUUUAAUGGUUUAGAUUCCCACAUUGAAAAACAAGAUAAAAAUACACUGGAGCAAAUCAUCUCCCACAGAGGGGGAAGUUGAGAGGAAAGUAUCAUAGCAUUGGAGAAUGUGAUUUUGUGAAGUAUAGUAACCUAACCUGUUCCGUAAUGACAUGAUAUGGUGGUGGGGGUGGCAGGUAUAGAAUAUGAUAUCUUUUCAAAUCUCAAAAAAUCUAAAAUCAAUUACUACACCAAAUCAUCUUUUUAUUUGGUCAUCGUAAAAAUCUCAAAAUCGAUGAUUCAUCAAAUCUUUUUUGGUUUGAUCAUAAAAAAAAUCUUAAAGAGAUCGAAAGCGACAAAAAUAUAAUUAAAUAUUGACGGAAGAGACUCAAUUGACUAACAUUAAGCAACCAAGAUAGAACAAAAACUAAUUAAGGGAUAUCAAAGUAAAAUCAAAUAAACAGUCAAAGGAGAAUAUAAAUUUAAGACAAAUUAAUCAAAUGAACAACUAACCCAUCACAAGCCAUAACCAUAUAACACAAUUCAAAUCAAUAACCGUUUGUUGUGCCUUCAAAAAAAAUUCGUUUUAAGAUUUCAGGUUCGAUAUUCUCUCCGAUGUCAAUUUUAAUGGACUAGUUUAACUUCAUAAAAAAAACGUUUGUUUAUAAUUAAAUGCAUUAUCAAAGAAUAUAAUAGUUGAUAUAAUACUUUAUUAUUUUAAUAUUUGAUCGAGGUUAAUCUAUAAAAUAAAAUCCAACUUACUAAUGUAAAAAAUAUAUGAUGCAUCAAAGUAGUCGAUAUGAACAGAUUAUUAAAAGAUUAACGCAUGAUUAUUACAAUGAAAAAGCAAAUACAAUAUUUACUUAGGUUUUUGUCUUUGUGGGCAUUUCUAUGGUGCAGUUAAGAAAUUGAUUUAUUUUUUUAAAAUUAUUUUGUUUAGGAAAUAAGAUAAAUGUUAUUUUAUGAAGCAAUCGCAAAGGAAAAGUUAUCAAAGGUGAUUUAUGACUACUAUGCAUCCGGGGUAGAGGACUAGUGGACUUUGAAAGAGAACCAACAUGCAUUCUCAAGGAUUCUAUAAUUUACAAACUACUUUUAGUUUAUAUUCAUCUUCCAUUUAAUUUAACCUUGUGUGCUCUAUUGAAUUAAGCACUCGUUUCACUAUCUAUAUUAAUCUGAGAAAUAGGUUCAGGCCACAGAUUCUUAUGGAUGUGAGCAAGAUAGAUUUGACAACAACUAUAUUAGGCUUAAAUAUUUCAAUGCCUAUCAUAAUUGCUCCUACAAUCUUGCAAAAGAUGGCUCACCCUGAAGGUACUCACUGUUCUGCGUUACAUUAAGAUAUUACUCUUGCAUUAUGUUUUUUUUGUUAUUGUCAUUAUGUACAUUUUUUUAUAAGAGUUCAUGUACAUUUUGUUAAUACAUAUGUGUCGGAUUCUUCAUGUGUUUGACAUUGAAGUUUAUUUUUUACUAAUAUAGAAAAGUUGGUUUUUUGGAAAAGUUAUUUAUUUAGCCAAAAGUUAUGUCUAUAAUAUAAUAAUAAAAAUGUUUAAUUUUGAUUUAAUCAGAGACUCAGUAUGACUGCACCAUAAAAGGGGGAAAAUACAUUCUUUGGUUCAUAUAACUACAAUCCUUGUCAAACCAUACAUGAAUUUCAAUGCAAUUUAUUAUGAACAAAGGAAACACUAAUUAUUCAAACUUGAAAUAUGAUUCAAACUUGAUAGAGUAUAAAAAAAAUGUUGAUUUGGGAAAACGGCAUCUAGGCAGUGGAGGUAAAGUUGAAGUUAGAACAAGUAGUUUGUCGUCCAAAGAGCAAGGAGCUAAAUCCCAAUUUAGAAGCAGCCAAAUCAAAUUGCAAAAGAUUAUUCUCCAACUGAUACCCUCCAAUCACAAUUGAAGCCCAUGUAUUCUCACCACCAAUCACAAAACCAAGACACAAAACCUCAUCAUUUAUAUUCACCAUUGAAUUUGCACCAAAUAUCCUCCAAAUCACAUUGUUCUGCAAAUAAAGCUCAAUAGUAGGUACAUCCGCACCCAAUCGUGUCCCAGUCACAUUAGUGUAACAAAACUCAAAAGGUGCAACCGAAUCCACCCUUUUUAUGUUUCUUGCAGCAGACGCUUUCACGAAAGCGUCUGUAACUGCUUUGUAAAUAGAAGCUUCCAAAACUGUGUAAGGAUCAACGGUACUUAUCUUUGUUCCACCAGCACCGUUGCUACUGUCUAUAGAUAACAAACUAGUGUCAAGCGAAACAACUUUUCCAUCUAUUUUAAUAGUUUUCACGCCGAUGAAAUACUCGGCUGAAGGCUCACUCUUUGCGAAAGCAGCUGUGCUAAAGGGAUUGAUCAAAAGCGGUGUGUAUGUGAGUGACUUAGAAUCAAAAACGACGUUGGGGAGAAAACCGUAAGGUCCAUCCCCGAAUAAAACAACUCCCUUUGAAGAGGAAAGACAAAUAGCGAAUUUUUUAGCGAAGCUAAAAGCCGAAGCUAAUUGAGAUGGAAGAGCUAAUUUGUUUCUUCCAAGACCAGCCAUACCAGAAGCACCACUUGCAAGUCCUUCUAGUAAGAAAGUUCGUGCACAUGAGAAUAGGAAGCGUGAAACCAUGACAUUUUGUCCUGGGUUGAAGCCAUUAGAGGAUUGGAUUGAUAAAAUAUCUUCAGCCAGUUCACCGCUCAUGGCGCUCUGGGUAACGCUAUUCCCUGGGGCAACACUGCAGGUGUUGUUGUUGCAGCCAGGUUUUGGUGAUGAGAAACAAACACCACAGUCGUCGAAUUUGGCAAGGGAGCAUUGGGCAGAGCGACACCGUGCAGGACGGUAUGUGGAGGAAAUGUACUGGUUUUCGCAAUCAACCCAGAGAAACAGGCCACCGAGAUCGACGAUGAUGUUCAGUGGGACUAGUGGUGUUCUUUGGUUGAUUUGAGCUUUGUAUUGGUUUGUGGUAGCGACAUCUUUUGUGACUGGGAGAACUAGGGCUUUUGGCCUGAAAGAUUGUUUAGAGAAAGUGGGUGAAAUGAAGAAAAAUAGGAGGAGGGUUGUAAUGAAGUGUUGGAAAUUGUAUUUAGCCAUGGCUUGAGAGUAAAAAUAGUGUAUUAGUGUAUGGUAUUGAGUUUGAGAAGAUGGUGUUGAGGCAUCUCUAUUUAUAUUGCAUGGGAUAUUGAUAGAGUUGCCAUUUGAGAUGUUAAAUAAAAAACGUCAAAUAUGAUUGUCACGUUUCUUUGUAUUUAACACGAUGUUGCCAUUAUUAAUUAUUAUCUGCACACAAUAUUAAAUUCUUGGUCAAACUUGAUGUACUACAAUUUUUUAUAGGCAAGUAAUUCAUGGAUUAGUGACUAAGACACCCUUUUUUAUAUUCUUCGUUGCUAUGCUAUGUAGGCAUGGGUUACUUUAUAUUUUUGAGGAAAAAUAAAUACCACUUCCGUCUCUAUAUACAAGACCUUUUUGUCAAAAUUACAGGAAUUAAGAAAGUAGAUAUUUUCAUUAAAGUUGUUUGUAAUUACUAUUGUUUUUACAAUUUUAUCUUUUAAAAUAGAGAGUUAGUUUAUGUUUUGAACAUGUUAUUUAUUGCUGAUUGAAGAAAAAGAUGUGAAAUAAAUAGAGGCAUGUAUGUAAAUAAAUAAUAAAUGUGCUUAGAAAUAACAAAAGGGUCUUAUAAAAAGUGACAUUUUAUUUUUAAAAGGAUCUUAUAAUUAUAGAUGGAGGUAGUAUUAUUUAAUGAAGUUUCCGAUUCGCUGCAGUUUGUUUACAUACAUAAUUUAUUAAGUAGAUAAUUUUAUUUUUUCAAUUUCAUUUAGAUCGAAACCACGUGAUCUUUAUUUUUCUUUUUUUUUUUAAGGAAAGACCACAUGAUCUUGGUGAUUGUGGUUGUCUAACCAUUAUUUUUGGUAUAGUAAAGGGUUGAUAUUUAAUUGAGAUUAAUUAAAGGGUUGAUAUCUUUUAAGAAAUGAUUUUUAAUAUUACGGAUCAGAAAUAAAAUCUUAAACUAAAUUGUUGUUGGUGUUAACUCUAAUUCUUUCAAUAUUCCACCAAAAUUCAUGUUUACCCUAAUAUAUUUCCCUCCUAAAUAGUACAUGCCAAUUUGAAUUUCGAAUUUUUUUUAUUGGAAUUGCAAGUCAUUGAUUCAGUUGCAGUAACAAACUUCGUGGUAAAACGUGAUACAUUUGACCUUCCACCAUUAAUUUGAACAAUUUAUUUUUGAAAAAGGUGAUGGAAGUUUUAUUGAAAUUAAGAGUAAAAUGGAUGCAAAGUGUGCUACACAUGUGUAGCCAAAUAAUAUAAUUCACUCUAAACUCAUCCUCUAUAUUGAGCUUUCUACAGGAGUUUCCACUUUUACUGAAUCUGAUGUUUUUCUUUGUUUUUCUUUUGCAUAAUUUGGAGCUGGUUCAAUGUAAUGUUCUGCAUAAUUUGGAGGGAGCUUGAGGGAUUUUUUCAUAGUUUGGAGUGAUAGAGAAAGCUUGAUGCAUAAUGAAAGACACAUGUUUUGUUAUUUGACUUCGCAGAUUAUAUGUUUUCAAAGCGACAUAUGUCUCGACUCUACAUUUUCAUAGUUCAAAAUUGGAUUUUAGCAAUUUGAAGAUCUAUUGAUGUGAUUACAAGUUGUGUUAUAAAAUUUAAUAGAUGUUUGCUUGCUUAUAAGGUUGUACAAUUCUUUCAAAAAAAAAAAAAAAAGGUUGGACAAUUGGUAGUACAUUUCAAAAUUCAAAGAAGUAAACUUCCAUGAGUAGUCUAGGUUUGAAUGUGUGUUGCAGAUUUUUCUUUAAUUGUUUUAUCUUAAUGUCAUAUGUCCUUCAAUAUAUAUUAGCAAACUAAAAGAAGAAUGUAUUACAACACCAUAUGCUUUUGAAAGAAGCAUUUUGGUAGUUUAUCAAAAUGGCAUUGUUUUCACUUAUUAUAAAUGUUUUUGGAUUAAUAUAUAGAUUUAAUAAAAGAUAUGAAUAGUUGAUGUCAAUUUACUAAUCAUUUCAGUAAAUUAAUAUUUAUUUGUGUAAAAUAUGAUAAUAUUAUUCUCUAUAUUAGUAUAUUCAUACUCCACUUGAGUGUUCCCGCUCUUUUUUAAAUUCCAUUUAUUUUAUUUUGUAUCAAAUUCCGACUCAUAAGACCCGUGCGACGUAUGGGUUGGCGUUCUAGUUUAUAUAUAAAAACAAUAAAAUACAACUUUCGAAGGGGAAGCGAUUUGGCUCAACCUCACAAAGGAAAAAUUAAUUUGAUGACUUGGAAACUAAAGCAUGCAUAUUUAUUAUAAGGGGUUUUUCUAUAAUAGAAUAAUAUACUUUUUUUUUUUGCUUUCGCAUCGGUUUUCGACCCAUCAAAGGUGAGCGACUAAUUCGGCUCAUGCGUAAAGGCAUGCGCACUGACCAAAUGUUGUUCCCCCUGGAAAUCGAACCUGAUAUUCCUCGAAAACGUCCUUGGAAGGAGCUCCUUGCCACUGGAGCCCAAACAACUUUGUUAGAAUAAUAUACUUUAGUUAAUACUUCACGUACUUAUUUUACUUUUUCCCUCAAUAAUCGAGAUUUAAAAAUAAAAUAAAAUUGUACUAUAGUUCUUAUUAUAAGAAACAAAACCAAAAAACAUUAAUAUCAAAGUGGAGAAGGGUAAUGCUGUAAAUUCCACUUAAUUAAUUAAAAGCAGAAACCUCUUUCACACCAAAAGACACAUAUGUUUUGUCGCAGGCUACGAUUUUCAACAACCUCUUUCAAAAGUCAGUGCAGUUUGCAACAAUUAAAUCAUCUCAUCAACUUGCAAAAUAUAAUAAUAAUUUUUUUUUAACAGGAAAAUAUAAUAAUAAUAAUUAAUCAUCACAAUUAACAAGUUGUCAAUAAAUCAUCACAAUUAAUAAAUUAUAUCAUUGCAAAUAACUCAUCUGAAAAUGUAGAUAAAAAACCAACGAAUUGGUUCAUCGUCAAUGGCUUUUUCCAUUAAAAAAAAAGUUAGUAGCUUUAAGCAUUUUUUUUUUUUUGAAGGAAUAGUAGCUUUAAGCAUGUAUGCCAGGCUAAUCGACACAUUGCAAGUGCAAAAAUAGGGAGCAGUUAUAUAUGUUUUUAUUUAAUUUGAAAGAUAAAUUGUAAUUACCAAAAAUACCCUUUAAGUUUAAGUGACAUACAAUAGUGGGAUUUGGGUUUUUAGUUAAAACAAUGUGGGUGUAGCUUGCUAACUUGCACCUUAGUGUUUUUAGGUGGGUGUAAGUUAGCAGCCCCAAUGUUCUUAAAACACAUAUUCUAUAAAAUAAGUGGGUGUAUGUUAGCAACUCCUAUAUGCAUUUGCUAAGAUACACCCACUUAUCUUCUAUAAAAUAAGUGGGUGUAUGUUAGCAACUCCUAUAUGCAUUUGCUAGGAUACACCCACUUAUUUUUUAGAAGGUGUGUUUUAGCAACUCCUAUAGACAUUUGCUAGGAUACACCCACUUAUUUUUUUAGAAAGUGUAUGUUAGCAACUCCUAUAUGCAUUUUCUAGGAUAUAUAUAUAUAUAUAUUGUUAUAGUACUCCCUCCGUCCUUAUAUCUAAGCACCUUUUACAUUUUUCACAUUUCUUAAGAAAAGUUGUUGGUGCAAUUAAUGUGUCUAUUUUGUGUGUUAAUAUUACCAAAUUGUUAUUUGUUUGUAUGUGUAUUAAAUUUGACUUUUCAUAUUUUAAGAUAAGUUAGUAGUAUUAAUUAGGGGUAUGUUUAGGAAAAAAUAAUAAAUGCAUAUAGUAAUUCAAAAGGGAUUUACAUCUAAGGACAAAAAUAAAGUUAAAUGUGUGCUUAGAUAUAAACUCUAAACGUUUUGGUGGUUGAAAGCGAAUUACAUCAUGUUCGAUUUUGACUAUCCUUAUUGGAGGAAAAAUCCUUUACUUUGUUUACAGACUGCUUUGUAAUGUCUGUUUCUGUUUUCUUGGAUUAUUGUUGUGUAACUAAUAUUGUUUAGUCCUCUUAAGCACACCUUGUGCUUGAGGGAUUGGUUAUUUCUUUAAUAUAUUUUGCUUAGUUUCUUAAAAAAAAAAAAAAAAAAGGAGCGAUCAGAUAUUUUUAGAAUAAGAUUUUAAUUCCUUUUUCUAAGGGAAGGUGAAUGUAGGUUUUAAAUUUGUUUUUGACAUCUCAAAUCCAAAAAAAAAAAAAAAAAAAAAAGUUAGAAUUUGCCUAAAUGGAUACGGAGAUGUUUCAACACAAACAAUUAUGAUAUAUUUGCUUUCUCAUUUUAAAUUUUGAAUAACAUAACCUCCCCCAACAACUUCCUCUCUCGCCCUUUUCCAAUAUCUUUCUUUAAUCUAUCCCCUAAUCCUCCACUUUCAUAUUAUCAAUUCAUUAUCUUUUUUAAAACAUUUUAUUAGUUCAAGAGCAGAAGGGGGAAUGAAUCCUCUGCAGUGACUGCAGAGUCCAGUUAAAUCUAAGCCUUUGAACACAAUUAAAUACUUAAAAAUAUAUAUGUUAAAAACUUGAAAUUAGGAGAGAUAAUGAAUUUAAUGGUUUAGAUUCCCACAUUGCGGAAAAUAGGAGAAAAACACACUGGAGCAAAUCCUCUCCCACAUAGGGGAAGUUGAGAGGAAAGUGUCAUAGCAUUGGAGAAUGUGAUUGUGUGAAGUGGUUCCGUAAUGAUAUGAUAUGGUGGUGGGGUGACAGGUAUAGAAUAUGAUAUCUUUUCAAAUCUCAAAAACCUAAAUUCAAUUACUACACCAAAUCAUCUUUUUAUUUGGUCAUCGUAAAAAUCUCAAAAUUGAUGAUUCGUCAAAUCUUUUUUGGUUUGAUCAUAAAAAAAAUCUUAAAGAGAUCGAAAGUGACAAAGAUAUAAUUAAAUAUUGAUGGAAGAGACUCAAUUGAGUAAUAUUAAGCAACCAAGAUAGAACAAAAAUUAAUCAAGGGAUAUUCUUCGUUGCUAAUGCUAAGGCAUGGGUUACUUUAUAUUUUUGAGGAAAAAUAAAUAUUACCUCGGUUCCUAUAUAUAAGACAUUUUUGUCAAAAUCACGGAAAUUAAGAAAGUAGGUAUUUAUAUUAAAGUUGUUUGUAAUCACUAUUGUUUUUAUAAUUUUAUCCUUUAAGAUGGAGAGUUAGUUUAUGUUUUGAACAUGUUAUUUAUUGUUGAUUGAAGAAAAUAAUGUGAAAUAAAUAAGGGUAUGUAUGUAAAUAAAUAAUAAAUCUAUUUAGAAAUAACAAAAGGGUCUUAUAAAAAGGGACAACAUAUUUUUUUAAAAAGGUCUUAUAAUUAAGGACGGAGGUAGUAUUAUUUGAUGAAAUUUUCUAUUCGUGCAAUCUGUUUACAUACAUAAUUUAUUAGACUUGAAAAACAUGGGGUGUUUGGAUUAAAUUAGGGUGCAAGUAGAAAAACUCUAAACUAGAAUGCACGAGCAUCAAAAUCAACUCGUUAGUUGAAUCAAUGAAAACUCAAUAGACUUGAUAAUUGAGCAUUUUACUUGUGCUCCAUGUUUAUAUCACCACCAACUAAAGAAAACUAGAAGCACGAAACCACAUUUAGGGUGUGUUUGGAUUGUAAGAGAAAUUGUGAAGAGAGAAAUAGGUGAGAGAGAGUAUGAGAAGAGAGAAGUAUGUGAGAAAUAGAGUAGAUUUGAGGGGUUGUUUGGUACAAGAGAUAUAUGAGAGAAAUAGAAGAGAGAGAAUGUCAUUAUUUUUGAAAUGACCAAAAUGCCUUUCCUAUUAAUAUUAGUGUUACUAAUUUAAUUAUGUGAAUUUUCCUUUAAAAUGAUGAAAUGGUUAGUUAUUAAAUUAUUUUUCUUACCUUACACGACGGAAGAAGUGAAUUCACUAAAAUAAUUUAUUUCAACUAAUUUUUUUCAAUUAUUAAUUAAUUAAAUUUAUGGAAGUUAACCUAAAUUAACAUAUGCAAUGCGAAUGGUGACCCAACAGCCCCAAACCUCAUCUUUUUCAUUUGCUUUCCCAAUUCUUUUUCUCCUCCAACACUUACCCAUUUUUUCAAUGAACCAUAAUCCCAAAUGAACAACUUCUUCACCAUAAGCCUCCUCAAAAUUGCAAUUACAAGUAUAGUAAGAUUCCUUUUAAACGGGUCAUUUCUAUUUCACUUUCAUUAGAGAAUUUCUUCAACUUGGCGGUGCUAAAAAUGAAGAAAAGAGGGAAUAGAUGACAAGGGUAUAAAUGGAAUAGAAAAUAUUAGCUUCUCUCUUUCUCUUUUCUUCGCACUUCAGCGAAGACAGCAAAAAUCUGUGGGCCCCACUAUUCUUUGGUCUCUCUUCUCUAUUUCUCACCAAACCAAACAGAGGAAGUUGUGCUUCUCUCUUCUUUUUCUCUCUUCAAUGGCUCUCUCGCUGCUAUUUCUACUCAACCAAACAAGGCGUUAGAGUGAGGUGUGCACGAUAGAAAAAAUAAAAAAUGCUAGUAAACUGAAAAAUCAAGCCAAACGUGGGGCGUCGUGUAUCUCCUAAAAUGAGAGAAUUCAUUAAUUAUCCGCGUAAAUGGUCGACCAACACUAAAUUCAAUAGGUCAUAAUGUUUUGGCUAGUAGGACAAAUGUAUACAGUAUACCAAUAAAUAACCAGAUUUGUAAAUUACCCAUCGCUUGAUGAAAUUUUUAUACAACACGUUAACCACCACUCUUAAAAUUUUGGAUCAAUUAAGUAAAUGGUCCCUAUAAAUAUUCAAAAUUAUAUUUUUAGUCCCUACAAAAUAAAAUUACAUUUUUUAGUCCCUAUAAAAUUUUUCAUCAGCAUUUUUAGUCAUUAUAAAAUUUUUUCAUUAGCAUAUUUAAUCCCUGUAAAAAAUUUCUAACAACAUUUUUUGUCCCUAAAAUGCUUAAGGAAAAUGUAAUAGGGACUAAAAAAUGUGAUUUUAUAUUUUGUAAAGACUAAAAACAAAACUGUGAAUAUUUACAGAACUAAACUUAAUUAACACUAAAAUCUUUAUCUAUAACAUAUUCAUAUCUUGGCCAUUUUUUUCAUCAUAAAAUACGGUUGAGAUGUACCACUCAAUUACUUUCGCCUAUUAUACCUUUUGACCAAAAUAUGAGUAAAUAUAUUUCUGUUUUUUAUUUUGCAAAAUUUCUCAUGAACCAAAUGAAUAUUAACGGUAGAAUUUCGGCUGUUGCUUUUCCAGAACUUGAACCAUCAACAAACUUACAUCUCUUGUGGUAGACCAUAUCUUCUUAGGCGAAGAAACCCUCACAUGAUCAGAAAUUGGGACUACACACGUCUAUUUAUUCAUGUGAACAAGCUUGUUAUCUUGACAAAUUCCAACUUGGUGGCCAUAUUUCCCACAACUAAAACACACAACAUGUAAUCCUUCUUUUUCAAGAUUAAGUACAAGACCUAAAAUACUUAUAGUGAACUUUAGAAUGAGUUUCUUGUCCAUAUCCAUUUUUAUAUAAGAGAUUUGCUAGAACACACCCAUUAGUUUUUAUGUGUGAAUGUUUUAGCAAGCUACACCUUAGGAUGUAUUUAACUACUUUUUAUUUAUAACUUGCUAAAACACUCAUUCUAAAAAAUAAGUGGGUGUAUUCUAGCAAAUGCAUACAGGAGUUGCUAACAUACACCCACUUAUUUUUUAGAAACGGUGUUUUAGCAACAUUCAUCUUAAGGUGCAUUUAACAAUUUUUUAGUUAUAUCUUUGUUAAAACACACCUUAAUAAAAACUAGUGGAUGUAUCCUUGCAAAAACCCCAUAUAUUUAUUACAUAAAUCUGCUGCAAAGCUACUACUUUGACUGAAAUGUUAGAAAUAGGACUAGACCAAAACACACCCUUCCAUCACUGUAACAGCCUUCCCACGCAAAAACACUCUUUGUUUUUGUUCAUCAAUAUGAAUAUUGAGAAUUCCCCCUCUAGCUGAUGCCUGAACAAAUGUAAUCUAAAAUUUAGUACCACAAUAACAAAAAUAAUCAUAAUGAGGGAAUAGAAAAGAUAGUAAUAAUAGUACUACCUGAUAAGCCUUUAAAUCACACUUUCCUAGUUUCUUGCUCCAAUAGGAUGCCAAUCCACAAUGUGCACUCCCACAAACUGGAUCCUGAAAAGAAAAAUGAGUUACUAUCAGCAUUUUUUUGGAGGCAUUAGUAAUGUAAUUGGAAGAAGAUUAUAUAAUCAUAGUUCAACCUCAUUUACUCCAAAUUUUGGGCAGAAAAAUCGACUGUAGAAAUCAAAUCCCGACUCUGGAGGAGCGAUCCCUGUAACAAUUAUCCCCCUUCCAGGAGAUUUUACAAUUGCAUCAAAUUGUGGUUGCACUUCUAUGACAUUCUUUCCAGAUGUGACAACAACCUAGGAGAAAUAAUAAGCUUCAUAAUGUUCUAUAUGCACAUAUUGCAAAAAAUAUUCAAUCUGUUUUUUCAAAUACAUUUUCAAAAACUUCAAAUAACAUCUUCUCUAAAAAAAGAAUUAUCAAUAGAAAUGGAAAGAAAAAAAAAAAAAAAAGAAUUAUUAGGAAUUACAAGUAAGUCAUCUUGAAUUUGUGUCCUCUUUAUAUCAAUUAUGGAAGCUCCAUCCAAUGCUUGAGAAAUGAGCCAAGUGUCGUCGAAUUUGAACUCUGUGAUAGGGUCAGCAGGAAAAUCCAAUUCAAUAUAAGAUACAUCCUUGGCUUUACCAUUUUGCAAAUUCUUCUUAUCACUAGUGCCAUUGAUCGCUGAGAUCUUUUUGGCAGUUAACAUUCCAGAUAGUGUCACAAAUUCAAUAGUAACAUUGUUGUCCACUAAACCAGAUGCAAAGAGUGCAUGAGAAGCUGCUAAUGUGGCAUGGGCACAAAUAUUAACCUGUAUUAUAAUAUGAUCCAGAUAAUAAUGUUAGUAAUAGUUGACAAAAAAAAAAUGUUUUUUUUGUUACCGACAAAAAAAAAUGUUAAUAAUAAUUAAACAUUGCAUUUAAUAAACAUAUACUAUAUAUUAUGUUGCAUCGGUACGUGUAUCGUGACGUAACAAUACAAGCACGAAAAAUGACAAUUUUAAAAGUAAUAAGGUACCAAUGCAGAGGGAAGACAAUGGUCCAAUGGGUACCGUUGGGCAGGGUACAAUAGGGGUAGCACUUGAGUGAUAUAGAGUUGGGUACAAGCAUUGUGACACUGUGAUUGACCAAUGUCACCAAACUCUAUGUCAUCCAAGUACUAUCCGGUACUAUAGUGCUCAAUCUCAUACCCGCUUUAUAAAAAUUGUUCUUACCCGGCCACGUUUAUAAAAUAAGAGUUUUAUAACAUGUUAAAAUUUUCAAUUUACAAUAAAAGCAUGAAUGAGGAAUAAUGGAGUAGUAGACAAGUACUCAUGUUUCAGAGACUGCAUAUGUUCACGAAAGUUGGUCCAACUCGCAAGGAGUUGAUUGUUAUCCCACAAUAUUGUGACUUCAAAUACAGCAGAAAUCGGGUGAAUAGACUUCGCUGGUAAACAAUUUAGUAAGUAUCCCUAUCAAUAGUUUAUGAAUCUUGAGACGUGCUCCGAUUCUGAUGAGCCCCCAAGACCUAACUCAUCUACUUAUGAAGAAGAAAAAAAGUGUGAGAGUUUGUGGUACUGGAUAAUUAGUUGUACUAUACCUCAACAAUGGGAGUAAACCAUCUAAGACGAAAACGGGGAUUAGUAGUUCCCUUGACAGGAAUCAAAUAGCAGGUAACAUUGAUGUUGAACUCAGCUGCUAAUACUUGCAACCAUUCAUCAUCCUUCUCUUGAUCUAACAAACACACUGCUGCAGGGUUCCCCUUGAACGCCAACUCAGUAAAAGCAUCCACCUGUGUAAUAACAUUAGCAUUAUUAACUAUAUUUCAUCAACAAUAACUAAGUUCAGAUUCAAACAAAAUAAACUCACCACAUAGUAUUUCACUGGUUUCUCUGACAUUGGCAUAUUAUAUGAACAGGUGUUAGUUAGUGCUAUAUAAAAUGGAAUGUCAAACUCAAAGUUGUUAUUUCAUAAUAUGAACACAACCUACUCCAACAUGUUCCAAAGUAUAUACAGACACUGAUGUAGUAAUGUUUGUCUUGUAUGAUUUUAAAAAGAUUCUUUAUGUUUCCUCGUGGCCAGUUUGGCAAUAACAUUGCCGGUAGUUUUGGACAUGGGCACACAUUCUCCUGUAUGUCGUGUUACGUCUCUGUCCCAAGAUUGUACCUUCUUCUUGAACAACAUUGUGGGAGUAAAUAUGGUUAAAAGGUGUGUUAUUUGAACGAUCAUUUGCAUGACAACUUACGAAACAAUCAUAAAUUUACAAAGAAAAUUAGAUAAAUAAUAGAGAGAAAAAGUAAAAAUAUAAUGUAUGUAUGAAAGAGAAAGUUAUCACAGAUUAAAUGUACAAAUAUUAUUUCUCUACUUUUAACUUAAACAAGGGAAUUAUUUAUUUGUUUGACUUAUGAGUACAGAAGUGUGCCCUACCCUCUGGCUUUGCCUCAAGCUCUCUGCUCCAGUCCAUGUUUUAAAGGAAAAAGCUAAGUUGUGCGAGACAGUGGCCUACGGAGAAAAUCACUUACUCAUGAAAAUUAGUUAUUUAUUUUGUUAAAUAAAACACUCAUUAUAGGAUGUAGAGGGAGGAUCAAUGCUACUUUUAAAAAGGUCAAGGAUCUAUAAUGCUCUAUGUGAAAAGGCAACGUUGAGAAUAGACAAAUAUUGAACUCCCAACAAUGUUUAGUGAAAAGCUUGAAUGUCCAGCUUCAUCAAAUCACGGUAAAAUGGAUAUUGAGGCGCGAGAAUUUUGGUUUCAGCGUGAAACCAAACAGGCCACUCGUCACAACUCACAAGUUCAACCGAUAACUUACUACCUCCUCAAUUAUUUGCCCUCUGACAAGCAUAUGAUUCAUGAUUGACUUGACUAAUUCGUAAUCCUAUGUUUAAUUACCCUAGCAAAACAAUUAUCCAACGUCUCAUAAUUUUUUAUUUUUUUUUUAAGAAUAAUAUUUUAUUGAUUGAUUAAUUGAUAGCAACAAGAAAGUAGCCGAUUGGAAUGGUCUUGCAUCAGUCUUACUUUUCUUUUUUAAAAAAAAUCAAUUUUACUUCUUAUACUUGUAUAUCUUUUUUGUCAAAAAAAAAAAAAAAAUAUUUGUAUAUCUUUAUAAAUAGAGCCUAGAAUCGGGAGUUGAGCCACAAGUAUAGAAAAAUCAAGUUUAUCAUGUUAACUUGUGCCCUAAUCAAAAAUAAAUAAAUUCUUGUAUUGUGAAUAUAAAUAAUUAAACAUUAACAACAUUGAAUGCAAAAAUUCUAAAAAGAUAUUUUUAUCUUUAGCUUUUUAACUCGUGUCUAUAUAUUGCCAUUUCCUUUUUAUUAAUAUUUUUUACAAUAAUGUGGAUCGUUGGAAUCGUCUCAACACUUAUUUUUACAUUGUAAUUUUUUUGGAUCUGUUUGGCACUUCAUUUAUAGGUGGUUAGGUUUGUCCGUGGCUGCCCCUUUACAGGUGUCGGAUCAUUUUGCUCAGUUUACUAGUAGUGCUGAUACCACUAAGGUGCACCAUUCUAUUCUUCAGGUUAUUUGGUUUGCUGUAGUUUGGGAAAUAUGGAAGGAAAGAAACAAUAGGUUGUUCAAUGUCAAAGAUUGCUCGGUUAUCCAGGUGAUCGAUAAGAUUAAGUCGCUUGCUUUUACGUGGUUGAGGACGAAGUUUAUUUCUCUUUCCUUCAAUUACCAUUGGUGGUGGCUUAGUCCGUUUACCAUUUUAGGCAUUGGCUAAGAGUUUCUUUUCUGUUUUUGUUUAUGAUCUCUUAGGUAACUUUUGUAUAUAUUGUUCUUGACUCUGAUGUCCUUUCCUGAGUAUGUCUUGUGCUCGGAAAGACUUUUUUGAAGUAGUAUUAUAAUUCAUUUUAGCUUCUUCAAAAAAAAAUAUUUUUUACAAUAAACAUGUAUUUGAUUUGUUAAAAAACCAAGAACCGGGUAAGACAAAUACUUUUGUCCAACGUUUGAUUUAAAAAGCAAUAAAGAACUGCACAAAAUAAUGAUUUGAAAAAGCAAUAAGGACAUCACAAAAAAAGAAAUGGAAUAGACAUCUACCCUUUUUUUGCACCGUACCAAAUUAGUGGACAAAGUUUUGUUUAGAGUUUUUUUUUUUUGCUUAAAUGGAAAUACUGUUUUACAUCUUCACCAACUUUUAAAAAGUUGUUUUUAAUAAAAAAAUAAAUUAUUUUUAACUUUCAUUUAUCUCUUAUCUUUUCGAGAAUUGCUGAUCCCACAUUACAUAAGGCUGUGCCACACGAGUAAAUGUCGUUUUUACCCCUGCGGCAGUUAACUACCGAAGUUUGGAACCGGCUGCAGUUAACUUCCGAAGUUCCUUCGACAGUUAACUGCCGACGCAAAAAAUAAAAAAAAUAAAUGCCGAGGAACUCAUCAAUUUUUUUUUUAUGUUUGAGAUAUCCCACAUGGAACUCUUGAACUCAGUAUGGCACAAUCAACUAGCCCCAAAAUCCUUCGGCACGCUGAAGUAGUUGAAAAUUAAAUCCUGCAGUAAAUUAUCAAAGGUAUUUCCAUCUUAUGUUCUGGAUAAAUUGCAGAAGCUGGAGACGGUGAUAGUAACUGAUUGUCCUGCUCUGAAAGUUGUAUUUGAAACACAAAGUCUACAAGCAGAUGGAGGUAUGCAUAUAAGGUUGGAUAUGCAAUUGAAAACUCUCACUUUGAAGAAUUUACCGAUGUUGAAGCACAUAUGGCAUGGAAUCCUAAUGAAAGCAUCAAGUUCCGAAACAUCUGCCUAUUGGGAGUUAUUGAAUGCAAAGCCCUUAAUUAUGUUCUUCCCCUCUCCACGUACAUCUCAAACAUAAAAAAAAAAAAAUUAUGAGUUCCUCGGCAGUAAAGUGACGAGGUUUUUUUUUUUCGUCGGUAGUUAACUGCAGCCGGUUCCAAACUUCGGUAGUUAACUGCCGCAGGGGCAAAAACGUCAUUUACUCGUGUGGCACAGCCUUAUGUAAUGUGGGAACAACAAUUCUCUAUCUUUUCCAGUUUUUCUUUUUUACCUUUCCUUACUUUGUGCGUUACGAUGAUUAUGAUAUCUCUUUUUUGCGUUGUUUAAAAGUUUAAUGUAAAAAAUUUAUCUUAGAAAUUGUACAUUCAAGACAUUGAACCAACACCAACAAUAAAUAACUUUUUCUACAUAAAAUUUAUCAAUUAUUUCUAUUUUUGAAUCAUUAACAAGUUUUCUAAGGUCAUUUGUUAAAAUAAUUCAAAAAAUUUAAAAUUUUGUUGUGUCUUUGCAUAGUGAAAACCAAACAUUGCACAUCAUAAAGGGUAUUGUAGUAAAUGUUACAUUAUUUUGUCUUGUGCAUUAACAUAUCAAACAAGGUACAAUACAAAAACUGUUUGUCCUGUGCAUCAACCAUCAAACACAACGGCGAUACAAUUUUUUUUCUCCAGUAUCCAACCUUUUGCAAAUCAAAGUCACCCUGAACGAACAAAUUAAAGCCCAAUGAGGUAGGAUAAAAUUUGACUAUAGUCUACACUAAUAAACCAAUAUACUACUAUUUAAUACAUUAAAAGUCUUUCUUUCGAACUAGUGUCUUUUGUGCUAUGAAUUUUUAUCAAAAAUUGGACGUCAAAUCAUAUGAUGAAUGAAUGUUUAAAUGAUUGUUUGAUUAUUUAUAUUAAAAGAGAUACUUUUAUAGUUUUAUUGACAUUGAAACUGAGCAAAUGAUUUAAUAUUCAAAUGAUAUAAAAAAAUCGCAUAGAACAAUUAUCAUAUAUAUAUCCCUCUGUAAAAAAAAAUUAUAAUACUCCCUCCGUCCUAAAUUGUAUGAUGUUUUGGGCAUUUCAUACAUAUUAAGAAAUGUAAUUAAUAUUGUGUGGGAAAGAGAUAUUAUGAGUUGUUUUACAAAAUUAUCCUCAAUAAAUGAUAUGAGAAAGAUAAAUGAAGGAAUUGAAAGAAGAGAGAGUAAUAAAUAGUUAAGGAUAUAAUAGGAAAAGUAAAUUAAUUUUUCAUUGGUAUUGUAAAGCGAUAUAUAAUUUGAGACAAAUAUUUUUUCUAAAGUAACAUACAAUUUGGGACGGAAGGAGUAUACAUUUAUACUUUAAAAUCUAAAAUAUUAUAUGUUUUCUACGCUCGCUAGAAAGAGUAUACUCUCUGUUCUUUUUAGCUAUUAUUUCAGAGUUAUUUGUAUAUACCAAAGAAAAUUAGUAAAUGUUACUAUAUUAAUUCCCCUAAAAAAUGUUAUAUUACUUUUGUUGAUAUUAUAUUUUAUCUUUAUAAUAUUUUUAACAAUUUAUUAUCUCAUUUCAACUAUUGUUCUCCUUGUAAUAAAUUGCACUUUUUCUUCCUAUAGUUUGCCAAUUGUGCAAUUUUGCACCCCAUAGUUUUAAACGAGCAUCCCCUAUAGUUUUUCCCCUUUCUGAUUUUAUGGUCCCCAUGACAUUUAAUGCUGAUAUGUUUGUUUCACGUGCCCCCUUCUCUCAAAAUCUGAAAAAUACCAUUUUUUUUAUUUUUUAAAAAAUGGAAUUACACACGUGGAACACAUUAAUUGAUAAAAAAAUCAGCACUAAAUGUCAUGGGGACCAUAAAAUCAGAAAGGGGGAAAACUAUAAGGGGCAAAAUCGCUCGUUUAAAACUAUGGGGUGCAAAAUCGCACAAUUGGCAAACUAUAGGGGGGAAAAGUGCAAUUAAGCCUACAAUAAUUAAUGUCACGUUCAAUUUUAAAAUUUUAAAAAUGAAAGUUAAAAAUGAACACAAGAGCGUUUAUAUUAGAUUACACCGAUAUGUUCUCGUGAGCUUAGCUCAGCUGGUAUGAACAAAUGCAUAAUAUAUGCAAAGUUUGGAGUUGAAACCCCAGCCACCACCAAAAAAGAUUACACCGAUCUCUUAUAACUUAACUAAGUUUGAGUUCGAAUUAGUUUUAAGCAUGUUAAUGUUUCUCCCUUAAAGGCAUGUGUGCAAAUAGGAUCCAUACACACUAUUCAUAUCAUGAACAAAGUACAGCACAAAGUAUUUAUUUAUUCAAGUCAUUAACUUGAAUGAGGAUUCAAGUAUCAAAAAUGAAAAUCCAAUUUUAGAAUAUUUAUUUAUCACCCCAACAUGGAUUUUGGAAGUUGGGUAUAUUUUUUUCAAUGUUACACAAGAGUUUAAAAAACACAUCUGCUAUGAGUGCAAGUUUGCUACUACUUUGACUGCAAUGUUAAGAAUUGGAUUAGACCAAAACACACCCUUCCAUAACUGUAAUAGCCUUCCCACGUAAAAACACUCUUUGUUUCUGUUCAUCAAUAUGAAUAUUGAGAACUCCUCCCCUAGUUGAUGCCUGCACAAAUGUAAUCUACAGUUUAGUACAACAAUGACAGAGAUAACCCAAUGAGAGAAAAUGGUAGAAUAGUACUCUCUCUCUCUCUCUAUCCCACAACAAGUAAUAAUAAUAUAUUUGAAAAAAAUGUGUUUCAAAAUGAGUGUCACUCUCAAUUUUCAACCUAAUAUUAAUUUCUUUUCUCUAAUUAUACUUUCUGAUUAGUAAUUAUGUGCAUCACUUUCAAGUCAAUAACUUCCUUAGUACGUGUAAAAUAAGCAAAUAUGACGCUUAUCGUGGAAUAGAGAGUACCUGAUAAGCCUUUAAAUCACAUUUUUCGAGCUUCUUGCUCCAAUAGGAUGCCAAGCCACAGUGGGCACUCCCACAAACAGGAUCCUGAACCAAAUAUGAGUUAUCAACAAUAUUAUCUAAUUUCUUCUAUUUUCAUAUCUUCAAUUGAAUAUAGACUGGACUUGCUUUCUAUAAUAUCCUUUUUUUCUUAGAAAUGACCAGCAUUGGACCUUGUAAUUUGUAAACAUAGGUAGUAAUAACAAUAUUAUAACUAAAGUAUACACUCAGAAGAGAACUAAUGUUGUGUUAAAAUACUCAAAUUCUGAACCUUACCUUGGAUAUUGUAUAUUCAACUCUUCAAUCCAUUUGCAUUGUUAAGAAGACCUUAACAAUGCAAUUGGAGGAACAUUAUAUUCAUAGUUCUCAACCACUUACCUCAUUGAUUCCAAAUUUUGGGGCGAAGAAUCGACUGUAGAAGUCAAAUCCAGACUCUGGAGGAGCAAUCCCGGUAACAAUUAAUCCCCUUCCAGGUAAUUUAGCAAUUGCAUCCAGUUGUGGCUGUAUUUCUGUGACAUUUUUUCCAGAUGCGACCACAACCUAGAAGAAAUAAUAAGCUUACCAAUUUUGAAUGUGCACAAAUUACACAAAACAUAGUUGCAGUUUUGCAUUUAAGUAGACUUUGUUCGCAGUCUUUCUGCUAGUUACUAAAUAUUGUGUUAAUAAAUAUGAAAGUUAGAAGACUAAGGAAUUACAAGUAAAUCUUCUCCUGUUUUCUUUAUAUCAAUUAUGGAAGCACCAUUUGUUGCCUCAGAAAUGAGUGAAGUAUCAUCAGAAUUGAAUUCUGCAACAGGGUAAGCAGGAAAAUCCAUUUCAAUAUAAAAUCCAGCUGCAGCUUCACUAUUCAGCAAAUUCGGCACACCAGUCACAUCCAUCGAUGGGAUCUUUCUAACUGUUAAAACUCCAGACAGUGUCACAAAUUCAAUAACAUUCUUGUCCACCAAACCAGAUGAAAACAGUGUGUGUGCAGCUGCUAAUGUAGCAUGGCCACAAAGAUUAACCUGUAGUAGUAUUAUAAUAAGAUCCAUAUAAUGUUAAUACAAAUUGUUUAUAUAAUGUAUUUAAUAGCCUAUGUCUAAGAAUAUUGAAAAGUCUCUGAUUAAAAACAAGUGUGUGUGAUUUUAUGAACAUAAAUUGUACCUCAACAACAGGAGUAAACCAUCUAAGACCAAAACGAGGAAUAGAGGUUCCAUGAAUAGAAGUCAGAUAACAUGUUUCCGAGAUGUUGAAUUCAGCAGCUACUGAUUGCAACCAUUCAUCAUCUUUAUCUUCUUCUAAUAAACACACAGCUGCUGGAUUCCCUUUGAAUGCUGAAUCGGUGAAUGCAUCAACCUGUGUAUGUACAUCAUCAUAUUACUCAGAUUCACACAACAGCUAUGUUUUUUUGUACAGUAAUAAUAACAAAUACAGUUAACAGUUAAAUAAAUAAGCAAACAUACCACGUAGUAUUUGACAUGUUUCUUUGCCAUUUGAUGAUGAGGGAACAAGUGUUGGAGAUAAAACUGGUCAAAGCCCCUAUGGAUGCUGUGGACACAGUCAAUCCACCUCAAUAAUAUAUAGUAAAUGAAAAUCAAAUACACACACACAUGUUUUGAAUCUGGACCUCUGUACCAAAAAAAUAUUAAAUAAUAUGGACCCCUAUAAUUAUAAUAAUAGGCAAUUGCUAAGAAGGGAAAGUGUCUCAUGUGAUAUACCAAGGUUGUUUCCAACUGAACUUGAUACUUCAUCUUUAGGUCUAUCAUCACCUCUCAAGAUAUGUAUUAUUCUAAACCUUUCACCCACCUUAAUGAAGUAAUAUAUAUUAAUUUCAGCGUUAGAAUGUCAGCAUUACAUCCCUACCAUUGGACUUUGUCUUGUCUCCGAGGCAGUCCCAACCAAACAUUAUUGUCUUACGAGCAUUUCUUCCACCAAUCCGCUGUUACACUCUGAGUUCGGUAUAGAAUAAAGGCCAUUGUAACUUUUUUAAGUAGAAAGUUAAGGAUUUCCAUGUCCUUAGUACUUCAGAGAUAGUGAGCGAGAGUGUUGAUUCAGACAAAAACAAGAAAAAGGAAUAAAGUUUUCAACACUAAUAUUUUGUUUUUUCUUUCACCUAAAAAAAAUUGUUUUUCUAGUUUCUAACUCAAGAAAAAUACUUAGAUGGUCAGGACCAUUUAGACAUGUCAUCUAGAGCACACAACAAAAUAUCAUUCAAUUAUAGACGUCAACUUGAUUCAGUAUUCAAGUGUCAAAAUCGAAUUAUAGACGAUUUUAUAAUCAUCCGAAUACGGAUUUUUGGUCUAUUAUUUGCAAAGUUAUACAAGAGUUCAAAUAGACGACAUCUAUUCAUGACAUUAACAAGGUUUCCAAACAUCAAUAUCAUUUUUAUCUGCUCAUGCAUUGGAUGAAUAUGAACAACUAUUCCACUAGAUGAUGCCAACUCAAAAGCAAUCACCAGACCAAUUUAUUCAACUUAAUAAAUCCUACAACACUCAAACCAAGAUUUGUGUAUAUCAAAUACACAAAAUGCUCAGGACUAGACCAAAAUAAUUAAGUGCUCCAAUAACAAUUUUAUCAUCUGAUAGUAAUUAUUACAUGUAUUGGUGCAUGUAUUUGACUGCAAUGUUAGGACUAGGACUAGACCAAAACAGAUCCUUCCAUCACUGUAACAGCCUUCCCACGCAAAAAAACUCUUUGUUUUUGUUCAUCAAUAUGAAUAUUGAGAAUUCCCCCUCUAGCUGAUGCCUGAACAAAUGUAUUCUAAAAAUUAGUACCACAAUGACAAAGAUAAUCACAAUGAGGGAAUAGAAAAGAUAGUAAUAUAAUAGUACUACCUGAUAAGCCUUUAAAUCACACUUCCCCAACUUCUUGCUCCAAUAGGGUGCCAAGCCACAAUGUGCACUCCCACAAACAGGAUCCUGAAAGCAAAUAUAGGUUAUUAACAACAUUAUCUCAUUUCUUCUAUUUUCAUAUCUUGAUGCAGUUUAACAGUUGAAUGUCGAAGAUCAAAAUCUGAAGCUUUACUUCGACAUUCAGUAUUGAAACAUUCUAGUCGUAAUUCUUAGCCAUAUACCUCAUUGAUUCCAUGUUUCGGGCAGAAAUAUCGACUGUAGAAGUCAAAUCCGGACUCUGGAGGAGCGAUCCCUGUAACAAUUAUCCCCAUCCCGGGACAUUUAACAAUUGCAUCAAAUUGUGGUUGUACUUCUGUGACAUUUUCUCCAGAUGUGACAAGAACCUAGGAGAAGUAGUAAACAAACAGUUGAUAUUUGGCAUGUUAGAGUAAAGUAGCAUGAGAUAUAGAUAUUUACUACUCCUUUCCUCAAUAAUCAAGCAGGUUCACAGAUAUUAAAUAACAAUAACAUAUGGUCUUCAGCAUACUCUCAAGGAUAUGUUGUUUUCUUGAAAUAACAAUAACUAAGAUAUCAUUCAUGUUAUCUAUACAAAGUAACUACCAAUUUUGGUGGGACUUUGCUUAUACAAGUUUACUAUUAACAGCACUUUUUUUCUUCAAAUCUUACGGCUACCAUAACCACUAAUUAAUAUCUGCUUAUCAAACAAUAAAUAAAUGUGGAAUAGAGAAGAGGAAUUACAAGUAAAUUAUCUCCAUUUGUUGUCCUCUUUAUAUCAAUAAUGGAAGCACCAUUCAAUGCUCCAGAAAUGAGUGAAGUGUCAUUAGAAUUGAAUUCUGCAAUAGGGUCAGCAGGAAAAUCCAAUUCAAUAUAAAAUCCAACCGGAGCUUCACCGUUCUGCAAAUUCAGUGCACUAGUGACAUCGGUCCUCUUCGCAGUUAAAAUUCCAGAUCGUGUCACAAAUUCAAUAGCAUUCUUGUCCACCAAACCAGAUGAAAGUAGUGUAUGUGCAGCUGCUAGUGUGGCAUGGCCACAAAGAUUGACCUGUGGUAUUAUAAUAGCAUCCAUGUAAUGUCAAUAAUGGUAUAAAUUGCGAUUAUGAAGAUGAGUUUAUUAUCGUUACCUCUAAAUCACAAAGAUAUAAACUAAACAAACACAAAACUGUCCCUAAAAGCACAUCAAUACAAUGGCCAGAUUAGGGUAUUCUUAAAUUUCUUUAGCAUACAUUUUAGUUUUGUUGGCAUUAAUGUCUGUUUUUUUUUCUCUUUAUCAAUCAUUAAGUUUCCCUUUUGUUACGUUAGAAGCAACCUUUGUUCAAAAGAGUAACAAAAAAUUCAAUGCAAAUAACGAACAGCCGGUCUUUGGCCAAUAUUGCCUACGUUUCAGACUGCUGAGACACGCGGCAGUUGCUUUGUAUUACUACCUCCGUUCCUUUUUAAUUGUCACUUUUUGAUAUUUUACACAAACCAAGACAAUCAAUAAAUGGUACUACUUUUGAUACAAUUGUUAUUACUUUUACUAUAAUGACCUUGUUAAUUUAAUAUUUCAUUUCAUAUGUUUCUCUCUCCGCAAUAAAUAUCUAAGGGUAAUAUUGAUAAAACAACAUUUAAUGAUGCAUUGAACUUUGAAACUGACAGUUAAAUAGAAACAAAAAUUUUCUCUAAAAGUGACAAUUAAAAAGGAACGGAGGGAGUAUAAACUAAAUAUUCAAGUUUACAGUGUACAGACGGUAUUUAAAUGCUACGAUCUAGAUUACAACGUUACCUCUGAACCUUUUAAGGCCAUUUCCGCUUAUUAGUUGUUGGGUCACUAGGGGAGCCUUAGGGGACUGUCCACAUCGAGGCUAGAACAACCGCACAAGCAAGAGAGACGCCACACUCUUACCCAAAACCUCAAGGCAAUGGGUUUAUGGGUCCUCUUAAGGUGUUCAACCUUUACUAUUUUAUCCGGGACAUAUAACUCACACUUGCAAACCAACAUUAGUAACUAUGAGUCAUACUCAACUUGCUUUCAAAAAUUGUCACAUGUACUUGGCUCUUAAAUUCUACGGUUACAUUAUACAAAAAGAAAAAAGUAUGUAUGAUUUGUGGUGAUAAAUUGCAGUACCUCAGCAACAGGAGUAAACCAUCUAAGACCAAAACGAGGAAUAGAGGUUCCAUGAAUAGGAGUCAAAUAACAUGUUUCAGAGAUGUUGAAUUCAGCAGCUACUAAUUGCAACCAUUCAUCAUCUUUAUCUUCUUCUAGUAAACACACUGCUGCUGGAUUCCCUUUGAAUGCUGAAUCUGUGAAUGCAUCCACCUGAGUAUGUACCUCAUCACUCAGAUUCACACAACAGCUAUGGUUUUCUUUCACAAUAAUAACAACAGUUAUAACAUUACUCAAUGAAAUAAAUAAAUAAACAAACUACAUACCACGUAGUAUUUCACAGGUUUCUUUGCCAUUGAAGAUAUUCUAACAGUAACAGGUCUUGCUGAUGAAACUGGUCGAUGUCCCUAUGGAAUGAGCAUAUGUACUAUACACAGCUCAGCCGCCUCCAAGACUUUAAAUGAUAACAUUGUAUAAAAGUUUAUGUAAAGUGUAUUGAAAAUUAAAAUUUUUGACUUUUUUUAUAAAUUUUUUUUUCUUAUUUUAGAAUCUAAAGAGUAUUAUGAGACACUCGUUAUCAAGACCUAAUUUAUUAUAAGUGAACAACAAUACAUAUAACACCGACUGGACUGGUCAAUGGUUGUUGGAGUUUUAAUUAAAUCAUUUUCAAACAUUAUUGCUGUAGUAUAAUGAGACAAUUCUGUGGAGUAUAAGAGAAAAAAAAAAAAAAAAAAUACUCCCUCCGUCCUUAUAUAUAACACCCUUUUGCCAAAAUCACAUGAAUUAAGAUAGUGGAUAUUUGUAUUAAAGUUGUUUGUAAUCACUAUUGUUUUUACAAUUUUAUUCUUUAAGAAAGAAGGUUAUUUAUAUUUUCAACAUGUUAUUUAUUGUUGAUUGAAGAAAAAGAUGUAUAAUAAAUAGGAGCAUGUAUGUAAAGAAAUAAUUAAUGUAGUUGAAAAUAACAAAGGAGUCUUAUAAAAAGGGACAAAAAAAAUUCUCAAAAUGGUCUUAUAAUUAAGGACGGAGGGAGCAAUAUCUUCCAACAUGACGUGAUAAAAUUGACUUCUAAAGACAAAAAUCUCUUACCAACAAACAUUAUUUAUAAAAUUAAAGCAAUGAACCCUUUAGUCAAUCUUCAUCUGUUUAAUUUGUGGUCGAAAAUUUUAUAUAAAAAAAUCUCUUACGCUAAAAUUCCCAACUUUUUGAAGAUGAUUCAAAUAAGGAGAUGUUGUAUUUUACUUUAGUCAACAGUAUUAAUCAAUAUCUUAUUUGUAUUCAAUGUAAAUCUUAGGCAAUAGCCAAUUUUCUGCUCAAUUGUCUUCUAAUCUUUAAUCUAAGAAUCUUGAUGAACUACUCUCGCAUUGAAUUUAGAUUGUUGGCCGGAAAAUAGGUAAAAUUUGACCAAAAAUUGCUCAAUCAAGAAAUCGCUAGCCAUCUCGUUUUAUAUAUACACAGACACAUAUUGACAUAUAAAUCGGAUAAUCGUAAGUUUUCAUAAUUAAUAAUUAAAAUCUUAUUUCAUAAGCUACAACAGAGAAAACCAACAAUCAACAUUUUAUUGUUGACUGAUGGUAUCAACCAAUUAAAAAUACAGGUUGGCGAUGAACUAAUUUACAGUGAUAUUUGGAAAAUAAAUUAAAAUUAACUACAGUUUGAACACUGUCCAUCCCCGUACAAAGGGAGGGGCUUGAUUUUAGUUCUGAGAAUAUCCAAUAAUGGGUUUUAUUGUAUGGACAAUGGACAGCAGUUCUGCCCAGAACAAACUACCAACUUCCUUCCUUCGACAUUCUCAGGAAAUGGGACAGAGUGAUCUUUGGGAGCUCCGGAGAAGCCCUUUUCUUCUUCUUUAUCUUAGUCGUCUUUGACGUCUCUGUGCCAUUCAGAUCAGACACCGUGUCUGACGCCAGAUUGUAGAACUGUUUACAAAAACAUCACAGCAAAAACUCUUAGUUUUUUGUGAACAUUUUUCUUCUGUCAUAAUAGAGCAUCAUAUUUUCAGCAUAUUAACAGAGGGGUAGCUUAUCUGAUACUUACCUCACAAACUCCAUGCAGCAACAAUCUAUGGAAAGGAUCUUUAAUACUAAGUUCAAGAAGGUCUCCAUCUGUGCUUUCGGUUAUGAAGGCCCGUAGACAUUCCUGGGAGUAAUGAAGGUUCCAUGUAAACGCCGACAAACAGAUUUUAAACACAGCAAAGGAAAAAAUACAACAAGCACUGAUAAUUUAGCCCCUUUUCCAUGUAACAGGACAGAGCAGCAUCAUAAUAAUCAGGUAUAUACCUCAUAACCCUCUAUGAGUUCAAAAAGAGAGCUGCGGCGAAGUGCCUCUCUUGUAUUACUACCAACUCUACGCCAACCAUUCAACACAGCCAUCUUGUCAGCAUCAAUGCGACCUUCCUUCUUUUCUAAAGAAUUUUCAAAGGCGUGAAUUAUAUUAACCUACCAAACAGAUAAAUCAGAUAGUUGUUUGUCAGUUGUGAAUUGUGAACGCACCACAUCCAUGAAAAUAUAAUCAUAGCAAUUUUCAUACGACAAUAAGCAUGUCAGCAACCCUUUCAAAAAAAAAAAAAGCAUGUCAGCAACCAGCAUACAGAUUAUAUUUUCACCUUGAUCUAAACUAAUAUAAUUCCUCACACAUGUACUCAUAGUUUCACGUGAUUAGGUAACCCACACAAACCACUACAUAUGUAAAUUUUACACAAACCAUGAUAACACUAACAAGAUCUCAAGCACUAUAAACACAAGUCACACCCUAAACAACAUUAGGACCAUCCCAUCAUAAAAAACUGCUAAAGAAACAAGGGAAAUUUUGAAGUUAUAACUAGAAGUUGCUUUGCCAAGUUAAAAGCCAAUAUUAACAAAACUGAUGCUUGUUGAAUCCAAUUACAAGGGCAUCAAAUUGCUUUCUUAAACAGUGGAAGUUUUGAAGAAAUGAUCUGCGAAAGAGAGAAAGAAAUAUAACCUCUUUGUCCAUGUCUAUAUUUCUGAAUCUGUCCCACUCCUCCACAUUAGUCAAGGAAAAUGUUGAAGGUGGAACUUCAUCACCUGUUUUAUGAACCCAAACAUUAUAAACAUAAAAAAGGGAACAACGGCCCAUAGAAAAAGGAAAGAAAGAAUAAAGCCACUAGGAUUGGACUAGUGGUGAGGGGCAUGGGUAGUUUGCACGAGGUCAUAGGUUCAAACCUCAAUGCGACCAUUGUACUCUAAGAAAGGAAAGAAAGAAUAGAUUAGAAAGUGGAUAUAAAAUUAUAAUAUCAAUUAAAGUUCCAAGCCAGUUCACUUUCACAAUAUCCUGCAUAUUUGAUGUAAAUUUUAUAUGCAUUCUCCUUCAUUCAAAUGCACUUAAAUAACAAAGCAUGCACACAGAGAAGAAAAACAUGAAACAUUAAAUAAGUUUCGUGUAUGGAAGAAUCCCAUUCUUGUUGCCUAAAUGCAACUGCAGUCUCAGGCAAAAAGAAAAGAAAAGAAAAAAAAACACCAGUAUAAGCGUUGUGAAUUACUGCAUAACACACACACAUCAGUCACACGAAUAAUUACCAAAUGGUGGUGGAGCAAACAAGCCUCUAAUUUCCUCUGCAUUUAAACGUGGCACAAGUUCCAUCAAGAGGCGGUCAUUUAACCACCUACGAGAUCUUCGAUUUGUGACCUGAAACAGUUAAAAUUAAACUCAAGUUAACUCAGAAUAAGUAAAACCAUGAAUUAAUACAAUACAAGCACUUUUAUGAAAACACAAAUAAACAAUUAGCAAAGAUUAUAGCUUCUUGUGACAUAAUUACAUAAUCUUAAUUUCAGUUCAUAGACGCGCAGUUAUGAAAUUCUUCAUUUAUCCUCCAUAUUUAAGAUGCAAGAGCGACAUAUAGAGAACAAAUUCAGCUAAUAAAUACUCUCAUUAAGGUGAGUUCAUUAGAGUAAGGAAUUUGAAAUGAAUUAAAGCUAAACAAUUAUAAUCAACCAAACAUUUCCUUUUUGGUGUUAGCCCUCUGGUUCCUGGGGAAAAGGACUCUGGUAAUACAGAGUUCGGCCGUGAGGUAGCCAAGAAUUAUUCCACUCAGGAAUCCAAAUCGGGUACCCCCGAUCGAUUCGUCCUUUGGCGGAGCUCAUUAACCACUUGAGCUUAAUCACUUGAUUACAACCAAACAUUUCUUAUAGAGUUAAAAACCAAUUAGAAAUUCUGAUUUGUUUUGUUUCAUUGAAAAGUUGAUAAAAUGUCACUCUGUCAUCUCAUAAAUACUGAUAAGUUUCAUAUUUUGUUCCAUUAUGUAUUGAUAAAAAUCCCAUAACAAAUAAAAAUAAAAAUAAAAAUAAGAACAAAAACUUCCAUUUGUUUCUUAUUUAUCUCACACACUUAACAGAGACAGUAGCAAUAGAUAAAUGCUGAAACAAAAAACAAAUGAUUAUUUUUUUCAAUUGACACAGACACACCUUUCCCGUAAAGCUUUCAAGGAACUCAAUUUUCUUUUCAAUUGACAUCGAAUUGGAUUUUGCACCAUCACCUGCAACAAAAAAAAAAAAAAAUGAAUUUUUUAUUUCAAAACACGAACCUGCAGAUGCAAAUGAAUAGUUGGAAAAUGAACCCCUGGGGUGGUUGAUCAAAUGAGAAGAAAGGAGAAGGUCGAGAUCUCUGUGCUGAAGAACCAUGAUUGUUGAUUGAUGAAGCAAGUAGAUCUAAGGAAGCGGUGAUAUAUGAGAGGAUUGAAACGAACUGAAAUUGAAUAAUGAUUUGUUUCAAGUCAAGAUAAACAAACUAGUGGAAGAGGUAUUUUUUGGUCUCUCAGGGGGAAUAUUCUUUUGCUUAAUUAAUGCAAGUACUGGACCGGGUCCGUCACACGCUAAUCACUUUCUUUUUCCUUUUUUAAAUAUAAAUUAAAAGUCAUUAUAAAUAAAUAUGAUGAAUCUAUCAACAAACUUACAUUAUUAUUAAUGUUAAUAGUAUAGAAUGACAAAUUGAAUAUGUCUACAAAAUAUGAGUUUAUGCAAGUCUAUGGAUCUGAAAUGCUGACAACGUAAAAGUUAUUGAUUAAAUUUGCAUGUGAUUAAAGUUAAUUUUUCAACUCGAAACAAAUAAACAUCGCAUAAAGACAAAAAAAAAAAUCAAAAGAAAUGUAUUCGUGCUAAGACGAUGAAAUCACUAAGCAAACGAAAGAAGACUUAAAAUAUAUGAAAAUCGUUUAGUUUGACUAGAAGAGAAAGAAAAACAAUUUAAAUGAGUAAUAUCGAGGCAAAAAUGACUCAAUAUCAGUAGAUCAAAAAGAAGAAAAGUGAUAAUGAUUCGGGUUUGGAAACGAGAUAAAAAUGGUGAGAAAAAGAGAAAAGUAUUUUUCUAUUGUAUUUCACCAAUUAAAUGUCCAUCACGAUUUUUUAAUAAGAAAAAUUAUUUUUCCAUAUUUCAUGCUUGUCGCGUGUCCUUUGAAAUUUUGAAAAAGCUAUGAAUUUCGAAUUCUAAAUUCAAAUGGGAUAUUUUGGUCAUUUUCAAUUGGAAAAAUAAUUGGAUCAACAUUCCAAACCAUGUUAAGAACAUUUGUCACCCCUUUCAACCAUCACCCCGAACACCUCAUCCUAAAGAAAUCUCCUGGCAACUAAUACCAAAUGAUUUUCAGACAAAUCAAAGAGAUGCUUGAACCUAUCAUGUAAGGGACCGUCCUUUGACCACAAAUCAAUUUAAAAAAUAAUUUAGUCACAUCAUCCACCACCCGCAACAAAUUAUCAUCAAACUAAGUCUCCACCUCCGCUUUCGCACCUCAUUAGAUAUCCACCAUAUCUUUCCAUUUAGUUGACCGUCCCUCCCUCCUUGCCCUCCUUCCUACCCGUACAUAGUGAUUAAAGCCUUAUAUCACAUAUCCCCUGAUCCACAUCCUAGAUAUUUGUUUACGUAACAAAGUUAUAUUAAACUCCCAAAUUAAAUAAUGUCUAAUCAUAAAAUUUUACUAUCUUACGUUUUUCUAUUCAUAAAAUUAAAGUGUCUCUGUCAAAGGAUGUAGUGGUUGUUAGAUUGCCAAUAUUAUGGAGAGGUUAAUUGUACACUGCACAAGUAAAAUUGUAGUGCGUAGUGCAAUAUUUUUUAUACUAUUAGAGUAAUAAAUCGUAAAAUGUUGAGACUUAUUGUUUCAAUGGUAAAAACAAGGGAAAAUUACACACACUUCCCUUGAGGUAUGUACAAAUGUCACUCACACCCCCUUGAUUUCUAAAAAAACAUUGACCUCCCUUAUAACUUAACACUGUUAUAAUUUUGACGGAAACUACUUAACUGCAAUUCUUUCCUACACUGUUACCAAACAAACAUAUUACCCUCAUGUUCAUCGAGUUACUUCCAGAAUUAAACACUGCCACCAAACUAGUUAAUUAAGUCUAAACAAUUGUUUUCAUGGCCGUUUCCACGUAAACUAUAAUGAAAAAACUCAAUUGCCAAAUUUAAAAUUUCUUAAACACGUUCCUUAAUCUCCAAUAAAUAUUUCAAUUCUUGCAUUCUUGAUUUUCAACUGAGUUAAAAAAAAAAAAAUUGACCAACAUUUGACUUUAAAACGUAUGGCUUUAAUUGUUGCUUAUAUGAGAUUGAUUUUGUUGGUGAGUAAAAUCUUAUUAACUUUUUACUAAGAAUAAAAAUUCUUGAGUUAUCUAAGAAAGUGGGGGUGUUGACAAAUCUAGUGACAAAGUGAAUGAAUGGAUAAACUACUAUGCAGGAUGAUGGAAGGAAGAAGAUAGGAGAACAGUUAAAUUAAGCUAACGCCGUUUGGACAGAGGGAUAUCAGGGCCGUUCCUAGAGUUUUACGGGUCUUGGGCAUAGUAUGAAAAAAGGGCCAUUUGUAUUACAUCAUUUUUCUUUUCUUCCGAUAAAUGAUGAAUGAGACAUGUAUUAGUUAUAGUGGUUGACAUACAUCCCAGCUAUGCUGGCACCCCAAGUCACUAUAAUACGAUAUUUUGACAUCCCAGCUAUGCUGACACCCCAAAAUAUUGUUUGUCAAAUACACCUCAUUCUAUAUAUUAUUAAUAAAAAGGAAAAACAAAACAAAAAAGUUGGGGGGGCCGAACCUAACCCAACAAAGUUAAAGUAAAAUUAUAGGUAUGGAUACCAACCUAUCUAUAGAGAAAAAAAACUCUAAUAAAACUAUGACUUAUAGAUAUAAACCAUCAUUGAGAAUAUACAAUAGUUGCACAAAAUAUCCAAAAAACUUCUCUUUUACUCGUGAAGUUAAAAGUUGUUUUUUUGAGCUUUUUGAGAUGCAAAAUCAUUUAUAAUGACAUCAACAUCAAUAUUCUUCGACAUUUCCUUCUCAAUUGACAAAGUAGCCAAACCGUUCAAUCUAUCUUGUGACAUUGAUGACCUCAAGUAGGUUUUAAUCAACUUCAAUUUUGAAAAACUUCUCUCUGUUGAUGCUACAGUCACGGGCACCGUCAAUAAAACUCUGUAAACAAUUGCUACAUUUGGAUAACAAUCUGCAAGUCUGACAAAUUUAAGAAUAUCCAAGGCAUUCAUUGUUUCAGUCGGCAAAGUGCAUUGUAACACUUUUAAUUCUGAGAAAAGAUCGUGAACAUCAACAUCUGAUAAAUCGCCAUGAGAAAAAGUUGAGUGAAAUUUAACACAACAUUCGUUCAACUCAUUAUCAUCCAAAAACAUUAACUUUUGUGAAUCAUACAAAAACCCAAAGACACUCUCAAAUGUCUUCAAUUCUUCAAAUCUAGUUUUCAAAGAAGUAAUUGUCAUAUCAACAACAACAAGAAAAUAGUUAACUCUAAAUGAUUCUUCCGGUGAUUGAUUUUCAUGUUCCUCAUUAUUCUCUCCAAAAUAUUAUUUUUUAAUCACACGACGUUUUGUUUGAAAGAUGGGCUCAACAUUCAUUUCAAGAGCAACACUUUUUGCAAGAUCAAUACUUUUUGUAAAACCUUCCUUUCGAUAUUUUUUAAAAUAUGACAACAUAUUUUCCAAUUGUUUUAUGGUAGAGUCGAUGCUCAUGGACUUAGAUUGCAACUUUUUGCUAACAGUGUUAACAGCAAAUAAAAUAUCAUACCAAACAACCACACCAAGCAAAAAUUCAAAAUUUUCUAGUGCAUUAAUCAAACUCUCCGCCUCACUCUUUGUCUUUGCAUCAUUAUCACAAGAUUCAUAUAAUUCUGACAAAGCCAAUCUUAUUUGGGGACAUUGAAAUCUAAUGGCUUUGACACUCUUAAUUCGACUUUCCCAACGAGUAUUAGACAAAUAUUUCAAAGCCAAUCUUUAUUGUAUUAUUUGACAUAUUCACACAACGAAUUAUAAGAGUCAUUUGUUCUUGAUGACUCAAAUCAGGGGUACAAUCAAGAAUUACCGAAAAGUAUUUUGCCUCUUUAACGAUGUUGAUGAUUGACCUUGUAACACUUUGUGACAAAAGCAAAAUAAUUUCAUUUUGAAUUUUAUGUCCAAGAUAAUGUUUAUGAAUUUCACGAUUCUCAGCGCGUCUCACAUGAUCUUGCAUUACCAAAUCAAAUUCCGCAAUCAUUUCAAUUAAUCCAAGAAAAUUACCAUUACUAUCUUGACUUAAUUUUUCUUUGGAUCCUCGAAAUGCAAGAUCAUUCUUAGCAAGACAUUUCACAACUGAAACUAUUCUACGUAAAACUAGUCUCCAACGCUCUUUUUCUUUCACAAUUUCUUCUUGCAAGUGUUUAUCAAUUGUCUGAUUUUUAUCAAAUCUCAUUCUCAAUUCAUUCCAAGUAUUCAUAUUACUCAUAUGUUCGACACCAUUUUCAUGUUGUUUGAGUCUUUGACUAAUAUGCUUCCAAUCAUUUAAACCCUCAGUUGCAAGUAAACUCAAGUUACUAGAGGUAGAAGAUUUAAACAAUUUACAACAAAAACAAUAUACUUUGUCAACAUGUUUGCAAUAAACUAGCCACUUUCGAUCACUAAUCUCACCAUUACUUAAUUUUCUUGAAUAAUUCGCAUAUGAGAAAUACCUAGAGUAUUUGUCAUUGGGAAAAUUAAGAUUCAUUUCUCGAAUAGGUCCCUUUUCAACUAGAAUAUCCCUUGAGGUGUUAUCAAGAUUCUCUCAAUUUGUUGGAUCAUAAAUAUCAAAAUGAGGAUCAUCACCAAAAUUUUCAAUAUUAUAUGCAUUUGGCACAUUAUUAGGAACAUUUGAAUUAUCAUCAAUUUCCUCAUUUUCAUGAUCCAAAUUUUCAUUGUUGUUGUUUUCCAAAUUUGGCACAUCAUUAGGAACAUUUUCUUGGGUAUCUACCUUUUUGAAAACAAAUUUAUCAAGAGCCCCUUGUUGUGAUUUUAUUAGCUCUUCAUUUCGUUUUCUUUUUUUUCGUUUUUCACUACCAGACAAAUGUUUUUUAGGCAACAUCUUAAAAUAAAUCAGAUACUCAAUAAAAACCAAUACAAACAAACAAAAAAGAAAAACCAUAUUAGUACUAGUAGUAAGUGAAGUAGAGAGCAAUAGCACCUUAAAAUAGACCGAAGUUUUAGCACCUUAAAAUAGACUGAAGUUUUAGCACCUGAAAAUAAAAGUACAACAAAAAACAAAAGAAAUAUAUCAACACUUAAUUAAGCAAAAAUCAAGAAUUGAAUUGAAAAAAAAUAUAUAUACAAAAAUCACGUGUACAUGUACAAACAAAACAAUUAAUUAAAAAAAUAUAUCAAAAAUAAAAAAUGAUUGUCAUAUGUAUGGUACGUGAAGUGAACUCUUAAAUCAAUAUCAUGCUAUAUGCUUUUAAGCUUUUUGGUGUACAGUACAAAUCAUGUUAUAUGGAAAAAUAAAAAAUUCAAUUGGAAAAAUCAUAAAUCAUUCAAUUAGAAUUUUAAAAUUCAACACCUGAAGCAAUUAGAUAAUUGAAACAAUGAUUAUCAAAGAGAAUUGGAAUAAGAAAAAAAAAUAUAAUUAGAAUUCAACACUUGAAGCAAUUAGAGAAUUGAAACAAUAUUAUCAAAUAGAAUUGGAAUAAGAAAGAAAAAAAAAAACCUAAAACAAUUCACCUGGAGAGAAGAGAAUGACUGAUUUUGUAACCUUUUGGUUUUUCUUUUUAGGUUUCUUUUUUCAUCUGUCUUUCUAGUUGCUCAAAAGAAGUUUUUGUUUGUGUGUUAGUUGGGCCCUUUCCAUUAUUUUCCUCUUUAUUGGGUCUUUCCACGUUUUUUUUUUCUGUUUUAUUCCUAAUGGGCCGAUAAAAUGAUUCAGAAUUAGGCCUGCUGGUACGAAUUACUAUACGCAUCCCACUUUUUCCUUAGCUUUGCUAUAUACACCCCCCUAAAAAAAAAUUAGGGCCCCCUACGAGCAUGAGCCCUAGGCCGUCGCACUCGCGGCCUAUGCCUAAGGCCGGCCCUGGAAGAUAUCUAUUUAGUGAAAAUUUAAGGGAGAUAAGUGUCUAUUUAAUAAAUAGAGGGGUGUUAGUGAUAUUUGAGGAAAACUUAAGGGAGAUUAGGGCUGGAAAUGAGUCGAGUCGAACCGAACUUGCCUGAGCUCGGCUCGAUUCGAUAAGAAUUGGUUCGGCUCGAAACUCGGCUUGAGUUUGACACGAACUAUUUUUUCAGCUCGAGUUCGGCUCGUUUAAAAUUCACGAACAGUUCGGUUCGGCUCGUUACGGUUGCUCAACUCGUCCAAAAAAAAAAGUUAAAUUAUAGAUCUUUGAUAUUAUAUAUAUAUAUAUAUUAAAAUUAAAUAUUGAAUUAAAAUAAAAGUUCCCACAAGCAUGCAUAUAAUAGACAUAAAUUAUAUAAAGUUAAAGGUUGCAUAAAUACGAAAAAAAAUAUCUGAUACAAGUAACAAAGACAAAAAAUCCAACAAAAUUCAAUAAGCUGUGAACAAAAUUCAAUUCCCUUCAAGACAAAAUUGUAUUCGGCCACAUUUGAAUUAAAAAAAAUUUAAAAACUAACUCAAAUUGAUUUAUAUAUAUAAUCGAUAAUUGAGUCAUCUCAUGAACCGAACGAGUCGAACUAUAUGUAGCUCAAGUUCAGCUCAUUUAAUUAACGAACUUAAUUUUCAGCUCAAGUCCAGCUCAUUAGGUUUAUGAACCAAGUUCAACGGAUUAAAUAUCGAGUCGAAUGUCGAACUAUAAUCGAGUUGGUUCGGUUCAUUGCCAGCCCUAAGGAAGAUGAAUGUAAUUUACGCGUAAUUUUUUUUAUAGUAAUAUUUUUACACGUUAAGAGAGUGAUUACUUGAGAGAGAAGAGACAAAAUCAUUAUAUCACCAAAAUACAAUGUUAUUUAAAGGAAAUUCCAGUUUCCUUUGGCUUAAGGUUUGUGUUGA
This 41319-nucleotide long non-coding RNA is filed under the name Medicago truncatula (barrel medic). RNAcentral's name for it is "long non-coding RNA (MTRU_LNC004993)". The stretch from base 22467 to 22536 matches the Rfam family "MIR2629 microRNA precursor family". The record is from RNAcentral. Lineage: Eukaryota; Viridiplantae; Streptophyta; Magnoliopsida; Fabales; Fabaceae.